RNAcentral lists this ribosomal RNA (767 nucleotides) under uncultured Enterobacteriaceae bacterium. RNAcentral's name for it is "bacterial SSU rRNA". It matches the Rfam family "Bacterial small subunit ribosomal RNA", at positions 733 to 1502 of the family's 1533-position model. Lineage: Bacteria; Pseudomonadati; Pseudomonadota; Gammaproteobacteria; Enterobacterales; Enterobacteriaceae. The record is from RNAcentral.
GACAGUACUGACGCUGAGAUGCGAAAGCGUGGGGAGCAAACAGGAUUAGAUACCCUGGUAGUCACGCUGUAAACGAUGUCGAUUUGGAGUUUGUUGCCUAGAGUGAUGGGCUCCGAAGCUAACGCGAUAAAUCGACCGCUGGGGAGUACGGCCGCAAGGUUAAAACUCAAAUGAAUUGACGGGGGCCCGCACAAGCGGUGGAGCAUGUGGUUUAAUUCGAUGCAACGCGAAGAACCUUACCUGGUCUUGACAUCCAUAGAAUUCUGCAGAGAUGUGGGAGUGCCUUCGGGAACUAUGAGACAGGUGCUGCAUGGCUGUCGUCAGCUCGUGUUGUGAAAUGUUGGGUUAAGUCCCGCAACGAGCGCAACCCUUAUUCUUUGUUGCCAGCGAUUUGGUCGGGAACUCAAAGGAGACUGCCGUUGAUAAAGCGGAGGAAGGUGGGGACGACGUCAAGUCAUCAUGGCCCUUACGACCAGGGCUACACACGUGCUACAAUGGCGUAUACAAAGGGAAGCGAAGGUGCGAGCUGGAGCGGAUCUCAUAAAGUACGUCUAAGUUCGGAUUGGAGUCUGCAACUCGACUCCAUGAAGUCGGAAUCGCUAGUAAUCGUAGAUCAGAAUGCUACGGUGAAUACGUUCCCGGGCCUUGUACACACCGCCCGUCACACCAUGGGAGUGGGUUGCACCAGAAGUAGAUAGCUUAACCGCGAGGGGGGCGUUUACCACGGUGUGAUUCAUGACUGGGGUGAAGUCGUAACAAGGUAACCA